GGGGGGGGGGGGGGGGGUGCUUGGGGGGGGGGGGUGGGGCGGGGAGGCGGGGCGUUUGUGGGGUGGUGGAGUGGCGAACGGGUGAGGAACACGUGGGUAACCUGCCCGUGACUUUGGGAUAACUGCGGGAAACUGGGGCUGAUACCGGGUAGGAGCUCUUGCUGCCUGUUGGGGGUUGGAAAGUUUCGGCGGUUGGGGAUGGACUCGCGGCUUAUCAGCUUGUUGGUGGGGUAGUGGCUUCACCAGGCUUUGACGGGUAGCCGGCCUGAGAGGGUUACCGGCCACAUUGGGACUGAGAUACGGCCCAGACUCCUACGGGAGGCAGCAGUGGGGAAUAUUGCACAAUGGGCGGAAGCCUGAUGCAGCAACGCCGCGUGCGGGAUGACGGCCUUCGGGUUGUAAACCGCUUUCGCCUGUGACGAAGCGUGAGUGACGGUAAUGGGUAAAGAAGCACCGGAUAACUACGUG
RNAcentral lists this ribosomal RNA (468 nucleotides) under uncultured bacterium. RNAcentral describes it as "partial 16S ribosomal RNA". It matches the Rfam family "Bacterial small subunit ribosomal RNA", at positions 39 to 507 of the family's 1533-position model. The record is from RNAcentral.